GACGAACGCUGGCGGCGUGCUUAACACAUGCAAGUCGAACGGAAAGGCCCUGCUUUUGUGGGGUGCUCGAGUGGCGAACGGGUGAGUAACACGUGAGUAACCUGCCCUUGACUUUGGGAUAACUUCAGGAAACUGGGGCUAAUACCGGAUAGGAGCUCCUGCUGCAUGGUGGGGGUUGGAAAGUUUCGGCGGUUGGGGAUGGACUCGCGGCUUACCAGCUUGUUGGUGGGGUAGUGGCUUACCAAGGCUUUGACGGGUAGCCGGCCUGAGAGGGUGACCGGCAACAUUAGGACUGAGAUACGCCCCAUACUCCUACGGGAGGCAGCAGUGGGGAAUAUUGCACAAUGGGCGGAUACCUGAUGCAGCAACGCCGCGUGCUAGAUGACGGCCUUCGGGUUGAAAACCGCUUUCGCCUGUGACGAAGCGUGAGUGACGGUAAUGGGUAAAGAAGCACCGGCUAACUACGUG
Molecule: ribosomal RNA, 468 nt
Filed under: uncultured bacterium
Lineage: Bacteria
Description: partial 16S ribosomal RNA
Rfam family: Bacterial small subunit ribosomal RNA
Source: RNAcentral